Molecule: ribosomal RNA, 458 nt
Filed under: uncultured Cellulomonas sp.
Lineage: Bacteria; Bacillati; Actinomycetota; Actinomycetes; Micrococcales; Cellulomonadaceae
Description: bacterial SSU rRNA
Rfam family: Bacterial small subunit ribosomal RNA
Source: RNAcentral
ACAAGCGGCGGAGCAUCGCGGAUUAAUUCGAUGCAACGCGAAGAACCUUACCAAGGCUUGACAUACACCGGUAACGCCCAGAGAUGGGUGCCCCUUUGUGGUCGGUGUACAGGUGGUGCAUGGUUGUCGUCAGCUCGUGUCGUGAGAUGUUGGGUUAAGUCCCGCAACGAGCGCAACCCUCGUCCUAUGUUGCCAGCGGGUCAUGCCGGGGACUCGUGGGAGACUGCCGGGGUCAAACUCGGAGGAAGGUGGGAUGACGUCAAAUCAUCAUGCCCCUUAUGUCUUGGGCUUCACGCAUGCUACAAUGGCCGGUACAAAGGGCUGCGAUACCGCGAGGUGGAGCGAAUCCCAGAAAGCCGGUCUCAGUUCGGAUUGGGGUCUGCAACUCGACCCCAUGAAGUCGGAGUCGCUAGUAAUCGCAGAUCAGCAACGCUGCGGUGAAUACGUUCCCGGGCCUU